UUAUAAAUAUUUUUUAUAACCUCUUUGUGUUCAGCUCGAUAAAUUUACAUUGAAUGAUACCUACACAAUAAUUCUGUAUAAUUUCCAAGCGUGAAACGUGAAACGGCUUUAAUAGCCCUAUAAAUACAAAACCCCUUGCGACUAAACUUCAUAUUCCGCCAAAAAUCUGUGGACAAAAUGAAGUUUGCCAUUUUGUUCGUAAUGGUCGCUAUAUUUACCUUCUGCGAGGGUUACACCACUCGUCACACGAUAUUACCCGCUUUUCGCUACAAUGUUCCUUUGAAUAUUUACGACAUAAUUAAUACUAAUGGGCACAAGUGUGUUUGUAUUCCACCACCAGAAGACACUCGUUGUUUAAAUUUGGAUAGCGUUCGGAGGCGAAUGAAGAGACAUAUGUAAUUUGUGUGAUUACUAAUGAAUAUGGUCUAUAAUUAUUCAUCUUCUUAUUCAUCUUCGGUUAUAACGAAUAACCGUCAUUCUGCUAUCGUGGCCAUGACCGUGAUUUUGCGUGCCUGAUGUUUUAGGUCUUUUUAUAUAGACUACUCAAGAUCAAAAAAUCAAAAAAUAGAGUUUAUUGUCGUGAAGUGGAAAUUUUAUUGGUGGAUCCACCUGCAGCCGUCGUAUAAAUCUUUAAUUGCGUUGAUUAGAUUGUGGACAAAGGCUUCUUGUAUUACGCUGAAUACUACUUUCUGCAGUGGUAGCAUUUUGCAGCUGCUUCUCCAUUAGUUGUGUUAACGUAUAUAUUUUUAAAUAUUUUUACACUUAUUUCUCUCAAAAACUUUCUUCAUUAUAUUCAUAUAAUUUUGAUUUUAAAUCAAAAAACGGACCAUAAUAAAAUUUAAAACAAUGCAAUCGAUAAAAUAAAUCGUAUAAUAUUUUUUGGAAA
Dalotia coriaria is the source of this 886-nucleotide long non-coding RNA. RefSeq lists it as uncharacterized. The record is from RefSeq and is a predicted model, not a curated record. The transcript has 2 exons. NCBI's taxonomy places the organism in Eukaryota, Metazoa, Arthropoda, Insecta, Coleoptera, Staphylinidae.